Molecule: long non-coding RNA, 716 nt
Organism: Oncorhynchus tshawytscha (Chinook salmon)
Lineage: Eukaryota; Metazoa; Chordata; Actinopteri; Salmoniformes; Salmonidae
Source: Ensembl
GAGCUCCAAGUGGACCGGCUCUGGCUCCUUUGACAGUGUGUGGAUGUGUGUUGAGGGGGUAGGGGGGGACUCGGCUGGUCUCCCUGCCCGUCCAGGGCCUUCUGAUCUGGGCAUUGCCUCUUCUGUGUGUCCUCCUGGGGGUCGGAUGUGCAGGAACAUGUCUGUGGGGUAUCAGAACGGACUCAACUACAUCGCCCUGGAGCUGAGAGAGGACCGGGACUCUAACCCUCUACCCGUACCCCAGCAGCAGCAGGGAGGCACCGGGCAUGGUACCGGGGUGACCCCCAACGCCCCCCAAGCCAGUAACCUGACUGUGCCAGUAGCAGAGGACAACGGAGCCUAUGGCAGUAUAGACUUCAUCAAGUCAGACAGGAUGACUGCCACGUCCAAGGGUAGGGUUCAGGGAGAAACAGAUGUGAUAGAAAGAGGAAAGCGAGAAGGACUGAUGGAGGAAGCUGAGAAGGGAGCAUCACAGACUCCCUCUACCGUGGCCUUCAACACCCCCACACCACACUUUGAUCUUCAACCUCUCAACCUCAAGGACUCCAGCCCACGAGGUCACGCCCCCUCUGAACAACAACCGCAACAUCACCAAGACGACAGAAAACGAAGACUGAAUGCGCCACAUUUGUGUUUAAUAAUUUCAUUUUUUGCAAACUUUUUUAUUUUUGAUACCUAAAAAAAAAUCCUUCUCAGACCUGGUUCUGAGGCUGCUG